RNAcentral lists this transfer RNA (72 nucleotides) under Candidatus Beckwithbacteria bacterium CG10_big_fil_rev_8_21_14_0_10_34_10. RNAcentral's name for it is "tRNA-Gly". It matches the Rfam family "tRNA". Rfam says of the family: Transfer RNA (tRNA) molecules are approximately 80 nucleotides in length. Their secondary structure includes four short double-helical elements and three loops (D, anti-codon, and T loops). Further hydrogen bonds mediate the characteristic L-shaped molecular structure. tRNAs have two regions of fundamental functional importance: the anti-codon, which is responsible for specific mRNA codon recognition, and the 3' end, to which the tRNAs corresponding amino acid is attached (by aminoacyl-tRNA synthetases). tRNAs cope with the degeneracy of the genetic code in two manners: having more than one tRNA (with a specific anti-codon) for a particular amino acid; and 'wobble' base-pairing, i.e. permitting non-standard base-pairing at the 3rd anti-codon position. Lineage: Bacteria; Candidatus Beckwithiibacteriota. The record is from RNAcentral.
GCGGGUGUAGUUCAGUAGUAGAGCGUCUGCUUCCCAAGCAGAAGGUCGUGGGUGCGAAUCCCAUCACCCGCU